Molecule: non-coding RNA, 1835 nt
Organism: Pocillopora verrucosa
Lineage: Eukaryota; Metazoa; Cnidaria; Anthozoa; Scleractinia; Pocilloporidae
Source: RefSeq, a predicted model, not a curated record
GUUAUGUCCUCACACAUUAUAACCAAUAGAAUGCAGUUUUACUUCUUCCAAUCAAAGUGCGUUGUGAUCGUGUCUUCUGCGUGUCACUUCCCAACUAGGGGAGGGAUGCAAAGCAAAAGUGUAAAAAGAUCGUUAAGAUUUCCGCGCUCGAAGUUUGAGAGUUUCAUGGGCUAUCCUUGACACCUUUUGGGACGCUUCGGAUUGGUGAAAGAGUAAGAUUCUGGUUGCGUUUUUAAGUGCGAGGUAUUUGGGAAAUUUUCUUCCAUACGUUGGAAAGCCUAGGAAGACGAGAAUUUGACAUUGCCUCAUGGCUUUCCUUACUUUUCUGUUGGAGCUGGUACAACAAGGCAUGGAUGAGAACCAGCAGCAAAGCAAAGUAAACAAAAGUGCAGAUGAAAGGAAGUGAGGUAAAAUUUGUUUUUUCAUUACAGCCACUUGAGUCUGUAAAUGGAAAGAAAACACUGAAAAAUGAUGAAAAUAACAGUCAACUGGAGCAGGAAAACUCCAAUCAACCUAGAGGGGCCAGAAAAUAAUAAUGUGCUUAGAAAUAACAGUUACCUCCAGCUAGAAAACAAAAAUGACAGAACAGCUUGCAGGGGCUGGAAAAUACAAAUUGUGGCUUCAAUGGAUGCCAGAAAUAUGUUGAUGAAAAACUGGCAGAUACUGUUUUGUGCAUUGUGCUGGUGAAGACAGCAGUGCAAGAAUAGGUGGAGAUGGAAUCAAGAAAUGCAAAACAGGAGUGAGUCCAUUUAGUACUGGAAAAACCAUGGAAGAGGUUUCUGCUGGUUUUGGUGUUGCUUUUCCUGACAUUCAACUACUGGACAAAGACACAGCUGUCAAAUGAAAACAAUAUUCAAGCCAGUGAACCAGAUGAUGAAGAUUUUGUCCUGUUUGAGCUCCUCAAGCCUCCCAAAGAUGCUUCCUAUGAGAUUCCAACCCUACAGAUUCUCUAUUUGAAAGAAGGAAGGAAGGAAGGUAUUCCAAGGCCUUAAUGCCAUCACUGAGCAAUAUCUUUUCAAACUAAGGAAGGAGAAAGGGAUAAAUGUUCCAAGAGGGUGUUACCAUGCAGUGAUGACAACAGAAAAAAAGGUUAAUUUUGAUUACUGGAGGCAGGUAAGGAUGGGUAGGUUGAGACAAAGAUUUUUCAUUACAAGUGGGAUAGAGCCUUGGAAUUUUGGACCAAGGAGACCACAGAACUGAUGUGGCAAGUAUCUUAAAGCAAGUUGAUAGUGAUGGAUGGGUCUUAUUGAGCAUUACAAAACAGCAUCAUUAUGGAAUGUGGAGAGACUGGAAAUGGAGGCAACUUGAGGAGAAAGACUUUUUGUAAUUUUAAAUAAAAUCAGUAAAGGAAAGCUAUUUGGCACAGUGUAAUACUAAUAAUUAAAUACCUAACAGGUCAUGCGUUCACUCUAACAGUUUCAAUUGGGUUUUGAAGCAUGCCUAAUUCAAGUUAUAUCCAAAAUUCUGCAGCUCCAAAUUGUGAAUAGUACCUAGACAUGGCCAGAGAACAUCCAGAGUUUCAUAUCCAGUGCAUUUCCAGAGCAGUAAAAUUUUAAAAAAAUGACACAAACAUUUAAAUUGCAAAGAAUUUAUUUAAAAUCUUUACAUUUACAGCAACCCAUAUAAAAAAGAAAUUUUACCAACCAUUAUGAGUGAAUGGGUGAAUAAAAUAGCCUUGACUCCUCAAUCUGGUGUCAACUGCUUUAUUUUAUUCAAAAGUAUAUAAGGGCAAAUUGGAAGGACAGAGUUACUUUCUGUAAUCUGUCAAAUAGUAUUGAACAGUUAGAGCCAAAUAGUUGCAAGUGAGUAAAAGGAUAGAAUGGAUUUAUUGUAUA